Molecule: ribosomal RNA, 427 nt
Filed under: uncultured bacterium
Lineage: Bacteria
Description: partial 16S ribosomal RNA
Rfam family: Bacterial small subunit ribosomal RNA
Source: RNAcentral
UGGGGAAUAUUGGACAAUGGGCGAAAGCCUGAUCCAGCCAUGCCGCGUGUGUGAAGAAGGUCUUCGGAUUGUAAAGCACUUUAAGUUGGGAGGAAGGGCAUUAACCUAAUACGUUAGUGUUUUGACGUUACCGACAGAAUAAGCACCGGCUAACUCUGUGCCAGCAGCCGCGGUAAUACAGAGGGUGCAAGCGUUAAUCGGAAUUACUGGGCGUAAAGCGCGCGUAGGUGGUUUGUUAAGUUGGAUGUGAAAUCCCCGGGCUCAACCUGGGAACUGCAUUCAAAACUGACUGACUAGAGUACGGUAGAGGGUGGUGGAAUUUCCUGUGUAGCGGUGAAAUGCGUAGAUAUAGGAAGGAACACCAGUGGCGAAGGCGACCACCUGGACUGAUACUGACACUGAGGUGCGAAAGCGUGGGGAGCAAACA